UACGUAGGGUGCGAGCGUUGUCCGGAAUUACUGGGCAUAAAGAGCUCGUAGGUGGUUUGUCGCGUUGUUCGUGAAAACCUGAGGCUUAACCUUGGGCGUGCGGGCGAUACGGGCAGACUGGAGUACUGCAGGGGAGACUGGAAUUCCUGGUGUAGCGGUGGAAUGCGCAGAUAUCAGGAAGAACACCCGUGGCUAAGGCGGUUCUCUAGUACGGUACUGACGCUGAGACGCGAAAGCGUGGGGAGCGAACAGG
Molecule: ribosomal RNA, 253 nt
Filed under: uncultured bacterium
Lineage: Bacteria
Description: partial 16S ribosomal RNA
Rfam family: Bacterial small subunit ribosomal RNA
Source: RNAcentral